RNAcentral lists this unclassified non-coding RNA (432 nucleotides) under Hevea brasiliensis (rubber tree). Lineage: Eukaryota; Viridiplantae; Streptophyta; Magnoliopsida; Malpighiales; Euphorbiaceae. The record is from RNAcentral.
GGAUGAGGAGUGAGUAAUGAGUUUUAGGACCAUCCUAUUAUAACUUGUGUUACUGUCAAAGCUAGUUUUGUUGCUACCUUUACGGGGCUAUUUUUUAAUUUAAAUUACCGCUUUAUUGUUUUGGUUUCCAACUUCCAUAUUGGGUUUGAUCUGUGAUGCAUUAUAUGUGCCCAUGAUCUGUGCUGAGGAUUAUUAUUUUUUUUCCACCAAAUGACAACACAAAUGGCUGGUUAUUCAAUCUGUAAAUUAAACAGAUGGUACUUCUGUGCUUAAGCUAUAAUUUAAACUUUAUUUGUAACACAGUUUCUUAAUAUGUUCAUCUGUUGCCUAUAAUACACCCCUGUAAUGUAUGAUACCCGACUACUAAGUUGAUAAUGUUGAUUUAUAGUGUGGACGUGGUGUUUAUUAAAUAAUGAAAUUAUAAUUUCUCUC